CUGAGUGAGCGCUGUGUUGCUGAAUUGGUUUGAGUCAGACAAGUCUGCGUCCAAAAUGGACUUCUUUUGCGGUGUGUAGAACGGGAAUGUAUGCGUUUCAACAGUUUAAGAUGACCUGAACACAGACGCUGUGUCUGGGUCAACCUCAGCAACAUUUUCUCAGGUUCAAGCAGACAUCCACCUCCAGGACAUUUCCCACCUACCAUCCUAGGAUGGACCAGCAACAUUUUCUUAGGUUCAAGCAGACAUCCACUGCCAUGUUCCCCACCUACCAUCCCAGGACAGACCGGUGUGGCAUAUUGAAGAGAAGACCCCAAAGAAGGGCAGACGCUGGCUUUCGUGUAGCCCACUGAGAUGCAACUGGAGGUGUUACAAACGUGAUGCAAAGAAUCAAGUUCAAUCCAUGGUUAAAGUUGGUGGGGGAGACGUGACUUGUUCAUGAGACCUGUGGAAAAGAUGAGAUGAAGGAUGAAGUGUUGGAAGACAAAUGAGAACAUCGAGCGAGUGAACUAGGUGGUGUGUAGUGACUUAAGAUUGACUGUGCGAAGGUGCCCAACCUGAACGGGGAGGACCAUCUUGGUGCUGGUGUUGGGUGAGCGGAAGGUGGUCGUCAAGAUGGUGCUCAAGCUUGUAGGAUGACAAAAAGGAGUCUUCUGUGUCUUUUUUUCAAAACUUGCUGGAGAAGAGGGGGUACAAUUGUGUGCCCAAACCAAAGAUCAAGGUCAUGCUGAUAGCAUUUGUUGACCAGAAGGGAGUGAGUGAUCCAUCAGGAGUUUGUGCCUUAAGGUCAGACAGUAAUUGAGGUCUUCUACUGUAAUGUCAAUCGCCUCCAAGACCCUGUUCAGCAAGCUCUGUGGAGGACAACACGCCUGGCAGUUCUUGGAUUGCAGCUUUCAACCACUCGAUUUAUUCCUCAGAUCUUGCCACUGUAUGACUUCUUGCUAUUUCCUGGCACAAGACUACUGCCAGAGGAACUCAUUUUGUGUUUUGCCACUGUGACUUAGGCACAGUGGCAAAACUGUGCCUAAGUAACAGUGGCGGGGGGGCCUCAAGGACUUCACCAGGUGCUUCUGUUGGUGGCAGAAGUGAUUUGUAGAAGUGCAUCAACUCUGGAGGGGAUACCUUUGUUGAAGGGUAUAACGUGUAAUUUUCUGUAGAUUUUGCAAUAUUUAAUUUACAAGAUAAUGUUUAUUCUUUUUGUCGUACCUCAUACAUUUCUCCUGGUACUCAGGCGCCCUUCCAUAUUCCAAAACAUGCUUCUUGGGAUAAUUGAAUAUUUUAAAUUGUCCAUAGAUGGGAAUGUGAGUGUUAGUCAUUUAAUUAAUUAAUUAAUUAAUUAAUUAAUGUAUUUAUUUUUAAAUGUGCCAUGUGAUUGACUGGUGACAAGUCCAGGAUGUUGGGCUGUAGUCAGUUGGGGUAGACUCAAAGGUUCACCGGUGACUGUAAUAAGGAUAAGUGGUAUAGAAAAUGGAUGGCUAUUGUUUUUCUACCUAUAGAUGGCAGUAGCAACGCACAGUAAAGCUGCUGCUCUUUCUCUUUGUAACAGGAGAGCCAUUUUGCUUCAGGAGCGGAAAUGUUCCUGGGGAUUUCGACAGAAUGCUGGAGGAGGGAGAAGCUAAUGUUGGUCAUCUAAUUGGACCCACUUGUCUAGAUACAGUGCGUUUAAUUUAGCUGGGUGAACAGGGUCGUUGUGUUUUCAGUGGAAAGAGAGCAUGUCCGCUGAGUGUCUCCGAAUAGAGUGGUAAUUAUUUUCCUCGUCUGCAGCUGUUUUUCCUCUUAGCUCUGUCUUGACGUUGCCAGGAAACGGGAGCGAAGGGUAAACCUGUUUUCUACACUGAAAAUACACCGAGGAGAGUGAAAAGUCAAUGCAGGAUGUUCCACUUUCCAUGAGCUCAUGCAUACAUAAUGUCCUGCGCAGUCAUCUGCAUGCAAGCACGUGCGCUGCAGAGGUGACUGGAGUGUAGCGUUCCAAUUAGAACGGAAUCUGCUGGCAAUCUGUCUGGAACACUUUACUCUACACAGUUUACUUCCUUUGUAAAAUUUGGCCACUUAUUCUGUAGACUGUUGGCUGGAUAAAACUGAAGGACGCCUGGCUGGCACCUACUGCCUACCUGCCAUCAACAUAAAGUAAAAUAAGAAAUAAGCCUUCCACUGUGAAUGAAAAAGAAAAAAAAAAAAGUUUGGCAGCAUGUCACUUUCCACUGAAAAUUGGAACACAAGUGCAUCAUUAAAUUAAAAUACUGUGGGAAGUUAUUUCAGUAGGUCAAUUCAAAAUGCAAAACUCAUGCUCUAUAGAUUCAGGAUUGUUUUAUUUUGAUGAUUGCAUGCAGCUAAUGAAAAUUCCAAAUUCACCAUCACAAGAAAUUACAAUUUUACAAAAACAAAUAUUAUUUUAGUUCCGUGUCAUGUAGUGUUUCCCAUACUUUCAGCUCAAGAUUGCACUUAAUUUGGUUCCUCCCAGGAACCCAAUUUUAUACUACAUGUAUUGCCAUAACUUCAAAAUAUAGGAACGAUAAAGAACAUCUUGCAUUUUAUACUGCAUAAUAUUGAAUUUCCAAGUCCUUCAGGGUGACUUUAUAUUCUUCGUAACAAACAUGAGGAAAUGGUUGUGUAUCCCCCUUCUGUUUAAAAAGUUGUAAUAUCUAUAAUGUGUACUUUAUUGGUCAUUUGCAGAAAAUUACUUUGUUGCAAUAUAGUGUAAUUGUAGGGAUAUACAUUGUGAAAAACACCUUGUCAAGACUGACGCGUUGUGCUUCUUGAACGUAACACCCAUAUGAAAACUAGCCCAAAUGAACAGGAGGGCAAGCACAAUAAAAAAAAAAAAAAAAAAUUGUGUUGCAUGAUGUAAUCAAAUAUUUAAAAUACUAUGCUGCGAUGACUACUUAAAUUCGCGAUCUGCGAGGCUGUGUUCACGCUCGAGGCAUGAGCUUGUCAUGGUUUUGUGCCAUCAAAAUAAGGUGCCGUUUGUAAUGACUAGGUUGCAUUCAAGGCGUCGUGUGUGGAACAAUGGAUUAUGAGUCAGCGCUUCAUGUUGAAAUGGAAGAGAAACGAGGAGCGCCCGUUGUGUGCAGUAGGGGGCACUGUUGCUCCGAGCUGCCCCCCUCUCACCACACGUCCUACUUCUUUCUCGGAGGCGUGAAUGAGGGGUGAGAUCACAGCAGCUCAGUUUGACAGCUUGAGAAAACGUCUGCUGCAUGUGUAUUUGUGAUACUUUUACUUAAGUGCUCGCAAUAACUCUCAAACCGAAGUAGUAUACUGUCAAUGUUAUGCUAUGUUAAAAUCCCUGCAUUGCAGAUUAUAGGGCCUUAUUUUAAACCACCAAUCCAUUACUGUUUAUAUGUGCCCAUGGGACUAUUACAAGGUAUAUUUGAGUUGUGCAAGACAUGACUGGAGAACCUGUCACCAAAUGAUGGUCAGCAGUAAUUACCGUUGCUCUGCUGUUUGGCCCUGCGAAUGUCAGGUCGUGAUCUUGUGCAACGAAUGGCUCGCAGGGCUCAGAUUGGAUAUCUGACAGGUGGGGAUGACUGGUAGUGCAGAAGCAGCUGUGUUUGGGAGUUAAGCGGCCAGAAAUAGCUCGCUAGUAUGUGGUUGCCAUGGCAGCUUCAGCAGUAGUCUGAGGAGCUUUUGGUAAGAUGGUGUUGAUCUUUGAGGCCCUCCCGCGUAUGUGCCGUUGAGCGUUUUAACACCCGAUGCCCAGAGUCACUCUGUCUGUAGCUGAUGUCAUGCGUGUGGGUCUCGUCAAAUAUUCACAGUCACGGAGGGAAACAUUAGAAGCGGGCCAGCAGCUAUAAUAAUAAACACCAGUUGGGCCCAACACCUCUGUGUCAUUCACCAAGUGAGGGCGAAGAUGUCCUAAAAAUAAAGCGACACUGUACGUGCGGAGAGUAUUAACUUCCACGCAGAUGACCCAUUUUCCAUCUCGGAGGGGCUGAGGAUGGGUGGAAAAUCAGAGGGAGUGGAGCCAAUCACGUGACUCCAAAGCAGGCUACAAAUCCUGGCGGAUUUCUCUUCCACCAAAGCCUUUCUGUCGUGUGGUUUUCCCAUUUUUAUGCUUUCCUUGUGCUCAACAGGAGCCCCUUUCAAACUGCCUGUGAAAAACUAAAUUUCCUUCGAUUUAAACAGCACUGAGGUGGCAUGGGGUAUGACGUUUACCCAUUCAUUUUCUGAUUUCGGAGGUAAAAUCUGAAGCCUCUUUUACACAGAGGCUGCAAAAUGAUUGCAUUGGAGACAUAACAGUAACAUUCAUUUACUUGUUUUGCACCCAGAACCCAACGAGCCAGAACCUUGUGAUCUCUGUGUGGAAGAGGAUGACUAUCUGGAAUCGGGGUGUGAAGUUUAAGACUCAACACUCACUUCUCUCGACCUGUUUGGUUGAAAGCAAUUGUUCCUGACGGCCGAGUAUUUUGUCACCCUAUACUCUGGCACUAAUGUCAUCACGCAUUUAAUUAUCUGAUUACAGGAUGCUGCGUAAGCGCACACAAUGAAGGCAAUAUCUAAUGCGCAAAGUCACGUGACCGAACCCAGAAAACGGGUUAGUGGACUUCCUGUGUAUGCCCUGAUAACUACCAUAACAACGGGUUUAUAUGAUGAUAGUUUGAACCCAAAUUUGCUAUAAUUGUUUUCUUUAUGGUUGUGUUUUCGGAUAAAAGUUAAAUACGUGUCUAUCAUUUAUUUAUACAAAUAUGCAAACAUGAACAAAGCCUAAACAUCAGAUGAUGUCAUCUUUGAUAGCUCUUGUAGACAUCUUGUGUAAAACAAACGGUACUGUAGACAUUUAAAGUUCCUGCUGGUGCUUUGUCCCUGUCUCCUGCUAUAGGGCUUCGCCAUUUAUUCGAGGCGGACGGAUGUGCUUUGACCUGUCUUGCCAACUGUGGAAGUUGGUUGCACAUACACUCUCUUGGGUUUCUUUUUAAAAGCCGGAUCCAUUCUAGAUCUUCUGUUAGGUCUCGAAUGUACCCAUUUCGUGGGUCCUCUGUGUGAAACAGGCUAAUAUUCUGUAGCCCUUCCAUUUGUGGUUAUGGCCCAGCAUCCAUUCUAGCCCUCUUGUUUACAUUUCCUGCCGAGCUGCAUGGUGGGGGCCGCGUGCACCAAACCACCUCCUAAUGUCAUCCUGCCCAACCUCCGCCUUUCUCCUCAUCACCAGAUGCCCGAUAUGACUGAAAUUCAAUAGUGCUGCUUUUCCUGAGAGGUGUAAGUGCAUCACAUGACUUGUGAAUCCCUGUGUACAUUGGGCAGCAUUUUGGUCUGGUGGCAAGCUCCUCUCGGAGGCUGCCAAAUUUGUAAUGCAUUGGAAAUAUCCAUCCAUCCAUCCAUUUUCUGAGCCGCUUCUCCUCACUAGGGUCGCGGGCGUGCUGCAGCCUAUCCCAGCUGUCAUCGGGCAGGAGGCGGGGUACACCCUGAACUGGUUGCCAGCCAAUCGCAGGGCACAUACAAGCAAAACCAUUCGCACUGACAUUCACACCUACGGGCAAUUUAGAGUCUCCAAUUCAUGCAUGUUUUUGGGACGUGGGAGGAAACCGGAGUGCCCGGAGAAAACCCACACAGGCACGGGGAGAACAUGCAAACUCCACACAGGCGGGACCGGGGAUUGAACCCGGUUCCUCAGAACUGUGAGGCGGACGCUCUAACCAGUCGCCCACCGUGGAAAUAAAGAGGAGAAAAUCGACAUUUCCCUUCCUGUCAUCCAUCAUCAACAUUAUCUGUGCAAUCUACAGUGGAAAAUACAAAGUAUUCAGAGCAGCAGGGUGAAGCAAGGGUUAACUGUUUUUUUUCCCUUCCUCUGCCUGUGAUCUGCCCUCCUCUUGCACAGCAGAGCUUUGAAUAGCAUGAGAGUCAGACAGGCUUGUUUUGCAUACUGUCGCUCCUGCAUUGACUUGUAGCAAAUCCCUGCCCUCGGGAGGCAUGUCAGAGGGGAUUAAUGGGAGGGCCGGGCCUCACAGAGUUCCCCAUUGUGGCGGCAUAGCCCUGCACUGUAUUUUCAUCGUACGCAGUAAGGAAAGAGCGAGCAGGUGGGGUGGUGCUGUUGGUGGAGGAGGGGUCGAGUGUUUAUUGUGUGCAUUGGGAGAGGAGGAGGGGUUAUACAGUGGUGUUAUUUCUCACUGUCCUGAUUCUUUUGAGGACAAGGGAGGGCAUGAGAGAGUAAAUAAUGUAUUUGGAGCAGCAGGGUGGUGGAGGAGCAGGAGGAGGUGUGGGGUCUUGACCACACUCAGGACAUGCAUGGGAAGGCAAGCAGCCACGCACAGGAAGCAGGCGAGCUGGGGGUGCGGGUGAGGAAGGAGGGAGGGGGCGCUACAACAACCUGGCUGUGUUCCUCUGGGGAAUGUGGGGCCUCAGCAAGAAUGCUGCAAUCCUCCACUUCCGUUCCUCUGUGUUUUACCAAAACAAAAAGUGUACUGCUGCUUCCUGCCAUUCUUAAUGAAAGACGAAGAGUAUGUUUACAUGAUGAGUGGGUAUAGAAUUAGACAAACGUAAGUAAUACGUCUUGUCAGCUAGUCGCAAGAGCAAUGUAGUGAAUGUUUCUGGAUAAGAAGAUUUCUAAGACUUCCCAUAAGUGACACGAACGCAAACGAUAGCGCCGUGGUCCGAAAUACUCACCAGAGGUUGAACGACGAGAUUUUCUUGCAGUAGACUAGAAUAUGAUGUAAGUCGAGUCAAAGCCGAUUCAACCAUUGAUUAUUUUUCAGCACAGGACAGCGGUCGCCAACCUUUUUUGCACCAUGGACCAGUUUCAUGUAAAGACAUAUUUUGAAGGGCGGGCACACAAACAAAUGAAGAAAUUUCUUAAAAACACAACUCACCAUUACGCUGAAUGUAGUUGGUAGGAGGCCUGCGCAUGUCUUUCUUGUCAACAAGCAGUCCGGUCUCAUCCUGUGUUCCAUAGCUUAGGAUGUUGUAAGACGGGACACUGUAGCCAGGUUCCCAAAAAAGUAAGCCUUUCUCUGUAGGGCCUAUAUGUAUGUGACUUGUGGUUUUAUUGUAUUUGAGGAUGGACUUGAAUAUUUUACCAGCUCCUGGUCUGAUUUUGGGUCAAAUAUUUCCACAUGCUUGUAACAGUACUGGCAUAUGCCAAACAAGUGUUCGUGAUGUUGGUUUGGUGCAUGCCAUGAUAUGUAUAAAGUUCCCAUUACCACACA
Molecule: long non-coding RNA, 7133 nt
Organism: Phycodurus eques (leafy seadragon)
Lineage: Eukaryota; Metazoa; Chordata; Actinopteri; Syngnathiformes; Syngnathidae
Exons: 5
Source: RefSeq, a predicted model, not a curated record